This is a long non-coding RNA of Dipodomys ordii (Ord's kangaroo rat), 1184 nucleotides long. RefSeq lists it as uncharacterized. The transcript has 3 exons. The record is from RefSeq and is a predicted model, not a curated record. NCBI's taxonomy places the organism in Eukaryota, Metazoa, Chordata, Mammalia, Rodentia, Heteromyidae.
ACUCUCCACUCCGAGGCUUAGGGAGCAAGUGCUUGGUGUGGGGGGAAAGUUGGCCUUUUUUUUUUUUAACCUCCUUGGUCUUUUGCGGCUUUCUUCCCCAGAAGGGGAGAUCCUGUAUAAACUAUUUCAUAUGCAAUCAAGCAAGGAUCACCGUGUGGAACUGAGCGGCAGUUUUAAAUGUGCUAAGGAGAGGAAUGAUGUGAAUUUCUUCUUUUUUUUCUUCUUCUUCUUUCUUUUUUGAGAUGCCUCAAGGAGCCUGUUUGUGUGCUGUGACCUCUCUGUGACUGGAUCUUGUCUUCUGCCUGGCACCUUGGUUCCUGUCCGGCUGGAUUUGGGGGGCAAUACUGCCUGGCGCAGAAAGAUCAAAUGAGACUACAAAGAAACAUAAAAUGAAUACGAAUAGACUAUCCAACCAACAGAAGACCGGGGGCAGCAGCACUCCAGCAAGAAGGCAUCUUCGCUUCCCCAGCCUAGAAGCCCUGUGAAAUCGAGGAUUUUCCCCCUAAAUCACUCACAUACAAGAUAUGUGCAACCAAGCUGCCAUCACUUGGUAAAAAGCUCCUGCUGCCUAACCCAAAAGGAUCGGGAGCAGAUCCUUGAAUCAGCUGUCACUUCUAUAGAAUGGGAUUUUCCCCCCUUCCUCCUUAACCAGCGCUGGAAAUUGCCAUUGGCUUUAUACAUCUCUAUAGAGGAAGGCUAAAGAGUCUUGCGUGAGAAUGAAGCAAUUUACAAUGCAAAUAGAGGCCUGUGAAGGGAUGGAUGCUGCUGCCCACUGCUAACAGCUUGCUGCACCUUAAUAGCUGGUUUUAUUUUCUGAUAUUAAUAGAUGAAUUGUUGGCUAACACUCCCGGAGAUUACUUGCUGGAAGGGGAAAAAAAAAGUUUGGAAUAAACUCAGAAGGCAACAGCUCUCAUUUGGAUGAUUUAGCCGCACACACACAAACAGAAACCAGGUCAUAUUUUCAUAAAAAGAAGAAUCGUAAGCGCAGCAAGUAUCCUGGCGGACUACUCUUCGGUACUGCCAGAAAGGAUCAGGAUCUGGAGUCUGACAAGAGGAAGACAGAGGCGUGAGAGGGAAGUGAGUUGUUAUCUUUGGUUAUCUAGCUGUAUGAGUGUAUUGGUCUUCAUAAAGCUAGAUAACCGAAAGUAAAAACUCCUUCAAGAUCGCCGGGGAGCAUGGGAGAA